GGAUCAUUAUCGUGGGGCUUCGGCCCUCUCGAGAUAGAACCCUUGCCUUUUUGAGUACCUUCGUUUCCUCGGCAGGCUCGCCUGCCAAUGGGGACCCCAAUAAACCCUUUGUAAUACCUGUAAUCGUCUGACAAAACAAACAAAAAUUAAAACUUUCAACAACGGAUCUCUUGGUUCUGGCAUCGAUGAAGAACGCAGCGAAAUGCGAUAAGUAGUGUGAAUUGCAGAAUUCAGUGAAUCAUCGAAUCUUUGAACGCACAUUGCGCCCUAUGGUAUUCCGUAGGGCAUGCCUGUUCGAGCGUCAUUCAAACCUUCAAGCUCUGCUUGGUGUUGGGCGUCUGUCCUGCCUCACGGCGCGGACUCGCCUCAAAUCUAUUGGCGGCCGGCACGUUGGCUUCGAGCGCAGCAGAAACGCGAACUCGAGACCGGCGGAUCGGCUCCCAGAAGCUACCCCCAUGAAUUUGACCUCGGAUC
Molecule: ribosomal RNA, 474 nt
Filed under: Preussia sp. (in: ascomycete fungi)
Lineage: Eukaryota; Fungi; Ascomycota; Dothideomycetes; Pleosporales; Sporormiaceae
Description: eukaryotic LSU rRNA
Rfam family: 5.8S ribosomal RNA (bases 151-304)
Source: RNAcentral